UCGGCACUUAGUGGCGGACGGGUGAGUAACGCGUGAGAAUCUGGCUUCGGGUUCGGGACAACAGUGGGAAACUGCUGCUAAUACCGGAUGUGCCUAAAGGUAAAAGAUUAAUUGCCCGAAGAUGAGCUCGCGUCCGAUUAGCUAGUUGGUGUGGUAAGAGCGCACCAAGGCGUCGAUCGGUAGCUGGUCUGAGAGGACGAUCAGCCACACUGGGACUGAGACACGGCCCAGACUCCUAUGGGAGGCAGCAGUGGGGAAUUUUCCGCAAUGGGCGAAAGCCUGGCGGAGCAAUACCGCGUGAGGGAGGAAGGCUCUUGGGUUGUAAACCUCUUUUCUCAGGGAAGAACACAAUGACGGUACCUGAGGAAUCAGCAUCGGCUAACUCCGUGCCAGCAGCCGCGGUAAUACGGAGGAUGCAAGCGUUAUCCGGAAUGAUUGGGCGUAAAGCGUCCGCAGGUGGCUUAUCAAGUCGAUUGUCAAAGGUCCUGGCUCAACUGGGAACAGGCAGUGGAAACUGAAAAGCUAGAGUGCGGUAGGGGUAGAGGGAAUUCCCGGUGUAGCGGUGAAAUGCGUAGAGAUCGGGAAGAACACCAGUGGCGAAAGCGCUCUACUAGGCCUGCACUGACACUCAGGGACGAAAGCUAGGGGAGCGAAUGGGAUUAGAUACCCCAGUAGUCCUUGCCGUAAACGAUGGAUACUAGGCGCUGAGAGUAUCGACCCUCUCAGUGCCGUAGCUAACGCGUUAAGUAUCCCGCCUGGGGAGUACGCACGCAAGUGUGAAACUCAAAGGAAUUGACGGGGGCCCGCACAAGCGGUGGAGUAUGUGGUUUAAUUCGAUGCAACGCGAAGAACCUUACCAGGGCUUGACAUGUCCGGAACCUCUGGGAAACCAGGGGGUGCCUUCGGGAGCCGGAACACAGGUGGUGCAUGGCUGUCGUCAGCUCGUGUCGUGAGAUGUUGGGUUAAGUCCCGCAACGAGCGCAACCCUCGUGCUUAGUUGCCAUCAUUAAGUUGGGAACUCUAAGCAGACUGCCGGUGACAAACCCAGAGGAAGGUGGGGAUGACGUCAAGUCAGCAUGCCCCUUACGCUCUGGG
This 1095-nucleotide ribosomal RNA is filed under the name uncultured bacterium. RNAcentral describes it as "bacterial SSU rRNA". It matches the Rfam family "Bacterial small subunit ribosomal RNA", at positions 85 to 1213 of the family's 1533-position model. The record is from RNAcentral.